GACGGAGGGUGCAAGCGUUGUUCGGAAUUACUGGGCGUAAAGGGCGCGUAGGCGGUCUGUUAAGUUCGGUGUGAAAGCCCCCGGCUCACCUGGGGAACUGCGCCGGAAACCGACAGACUCGAGUACCGGAGAGGAGGGUGGAAUUCCUGGUGUAGCGGUGAAAUGCGCAGAUAUCAGGAGGAACACCGGUGGCGAAGGCGGGUCUCUGGGCCGAAAUUGACGCUGAGGAGCGAAAGCGUGGGGAGCAAACAGG
Molecule: ribosomal RNA, 253 nt
Filed under: uncultured bacterium
Lineage: Bacteria
Description: partial 16S ribosomal RNA
Rfam family: Bacterial small subunit ribosomal RNA
Source: RNAcentral